Molecule: non-coding RNA, 938 nt
Organism: Zootermopsis nevadensis
Lineage: Eukaryota; Metazoa; Arthropoda; Insecta; Blattodea; Termopsidae
Source: RefSeq, a predicted model, not a curated record
AUCCCAUGUCAAGACUGGAGAGAAUUAUCACAGAGUCCUAGAACGAGCUUUGCUACAUGCACAGCAGGUUGGACCAUAUCAUUGUCUGAUCGUGCUGGCAACCCAUAAUGAGGAAACUGUUCGUCAUGCUACUUCACGUCUACUUGAACUUGGAGUCAAUCCUAGAGCUGGACAUGUCGUGUUUGCUCAGAUUUAUGGCAUGGCUGAACAAAUUUCUAUGCCAUUAGCACAUGCAGGCUACCUUGUUUACAAAUCAGUGCCCAUGGGCACACUGAACCAAGUGCUUCCUUACCUGGCUCGGAGAGCUGCUGAAAACAGGUCGGUGCUGCAUGGGGCCCGCAGGGAAAGGGAACUACUGCAACAAGAAUUGAGCUGGAGGCUCAGAUCUGGUUUUCUGAGAUGAAGUGUGCUGAGCAGGAAACAAAAUGAAUGUUUUUAUGGUUGCAAACUUGCUGUGCUUUCAUUGUUCUAUACUUGCAUUCAGUGGCUAAGGCGUUACGAAGUGAAAGCAGCUGUCUCCCUGUGGAUGACUGAUUUAACAAUCAAGCAUCUGCCUUGCAUUUGAGAAAUGGCUAUCUUAUCUUAUUUCCUUCUGUUUCUUCAGUUCCCACAGGUGAAUGCUGUGAUAACAGUGUAAAGUAAGCCAUGAACACUUCCUCUUAUGUUUCUCCUGAUACAUCAUUCAUAAUCAUAUUAUCCAAUUCUGUUUGAUGUUACAUAACCUCAGAAGUUGAUACAAUGUCAUAACAUAACCAAGAAGAGAAGUAAUUACACAGAGUGUUUGAAGUGUCAAUGAAUAUGUUUUAUUUCCAUGGAAUGAAAUCAGACUCAUUACACAUGAAUCACACACAAAAUUUAUUUGGAUACAGUGAAAGAUGAUUAAAUGUAAAAAUAUAAAGGACCAAUGAAUAAAUUGUACUCACAAUAAGUUACCUUUG